GUGGGGAAUAUUGGACAAUGGGCGAAAGCCUGAUCCAGCCAUGCCGCGUGUGUGAAGAAGGUCUUCGGAUUGUAAAGCACUUUAAGUUGGGAGGAAGGGCAGUAAGUUAAUACCUUGCUGUUUUGACGUUACCGACAGAAUAAGCACCGGCUAACUUCGUGCCAGCAGCCGCGGUAAUACGAAGGGUGCAAGCGUUAAUCGGAAUUACUGGGCGUAAAGCGCGCGUAGGUGGUUUUGUAAGUUGGAGGUGAAAUCCCCGGGCUCAACCUGGGAACUGCCUCCAAAACUGCAUGACUAGAGUACGGUAGAGGGUAGUGGAAUUUCCUGUGUAGCGGUGAAAUGCGUAGAUAUAGGAAGGAACACCAGUGGCGAAGGCGACUACCUGGACUGAUACUGACACUGAGGUGCGAAAGCGUGGGGAGCAAACAGGAGUAGAAACCCCGGUAGUCC
RNAcentral lists this ribosomal RNA (450 nucleotides) under uncultured bacterium. RNAcentral's name for it is "partial 16S ribosomal RNA". It matches the Rfam family "Bacterial small subunit ribosomal RNA", at positions 354 to 796 of the family's 1533-position model. The record is from RNAcentral.